RNAcentral lists this long non-coding RNA (2698 nucleotides) under Strongylocentrotus purpuratus (purple sea urchin). RNAcentral describes it as "uncharacterized LOC115922801". Lineage: Eukaryota; Metazoa; Echinodermata; Echinoidea; Camarodonta; Strongylocentrotidae. The record is from RNAcentral.
CCCCCAAGAUUUCUUUGAAAGCGGUAUGUGUAGAAGACCAGAGUUGGAAGAUCGGAGGGUACGUGUGGGUUGGUAGAGGUGAACUAAAGACUGGUUGUAUUCAGGAGCUGUUUUGUUCAUGAUUUGAUGAACUAAAAGAAGGAUUUUGAAAAUUAUACGUUCUUUUACAGGCAACCAAUGGAGAUUUUGUAAGAUAGGAGUAAUGUGACUAUGUUUGCUUGACAGAGUAAUGAUGCGUGCAGCUGCAUUUUGUAGUUUUUGUAACUGUGCAAUUUGUGAAUUUGGUAAAUUAUAGAGUAAACUGUUGCCGAAAUCCAAACGUGAAGAAAUAAGUGAGUGAACAAGUUUCUCUGUUGCCGAACGAGUCAGAUAUUUCCGUAUGAAGCCAAUAUUGCGCAAUUGAUAGCGAACUGAUCUGGAAAUGCUUGUGAUUUGUUUGGACAUAGACAUUAAGCCCGAGGUCUCUGUCUUUUUGUUGUCAUAUAACUCUAUCCCUAUAGACCCUGUACAAUACCUUGUAUCUAGUGGUACCAUGGAUGGAACGUUUUAAUUUAACAAACUAACAUCAAUCCUUUAAAUAGAUUAUGUAAUGUAACAAUUCCAAAAUAUUAUAUUUAUUACCUGUAAGUAUUAAAAAAGUGGGAUAUAUCAUUAUGGACUGUUUGUUUUAACCCUCCUUAUGCUUUCAAGGGACAAAUAAUAGCUUGGUCGUGGGAAGUGUUCCUGGUGAGGUAUAAAUGAUAUGUUUAAGCCCAGAAAUUAUCCCCAAAGAAAUGUACAUGCAUUAGGUUAGACUAGGUUUAAUGUUUCACUCUUUCGUCUUCACUGAACUUAUUAAUGGUAAAUUAUAUAGCUAGUUGUUAAGUUUUUUUGUUGGAUGUUUUCUUGUCCAAAAUUUCAAAUAUGAAAAAAUAAUCAUUUUGCACAGUACUUCAUGAAAUAUUGAAAAUGUGAUAUGUAGAAUACAGAUGCUUUUACAUUAUAGAAUCGUCAUCGUUUAUUUUAAUGUUGAACUUACUUGGAAACCAUUGUAAGGUACAUAGUAUACAUACAGCUAAGUGCUCCACUACCCCCUUGUAACUUCCUCCCUUAGAAUAUUAACAUUAGCCGAUUGUAUUGCAGGCUAGGGUCGUAAAAUUUCCACUUUUCGUUUUUUCUGGGGUUUUGGGGGUAAAUAUUUCGAGGAUAGUUAUCCUCGAAGUCGAGGCCUUAUUUAAAAGAUAAGGUGUAACUUGCUUUUGUUCUUUAUAUCUAUUCUUAUAUUUUUAAAAGUGUCCACAAUGGUACAUUAAUAAAUUUUCCUUGUUAAAGAGAAGGAUGAGUUCUGGGAAAGGCUGGGGAAAAUAAUUCGUGAACCUUUUCAUUCUUUUUUAUGAUAUAAUGCAUUUAUAAUUUUUUAUAUAUAUAUAUAUAUAUAGCUACACUAUAUACAGAUGAAAUAUACAGAUACAGUUACCGCACGAGAAAAAAAUAUACAUGAUGUACACUUUUUAAAGAGGUUAAAAAAAGACAAAUUAGGGAGUAGAUUAAAUAAGAAAGAAUACAGUAUAAAGUAUCCAACAAGUGAUUAAAACCUUUCUAAAGUUACGGUUUGUUAUAUCUAAGGAAAUCCAUAUUUUCCUGUGAAAAACAUAGAUUUGCUAUAAAAAAACAACACAACCGUUCUACUUUUUGGCAAGUGAUAAUCAUUGAAUUGUCUAGUUUUGUAUGUAAGUAAUGUAUUGUGUUUUUUUUGUUUUUUUUACUUCUUCAAGACAAAAGGUAUGAUAUUCUUAUCAAGUUUGUAUUAAAUUGAUAUAACUGUAAUGGAUAAUGGUCUUUUAUCUUAGGAAUGUGAUUUUGGCGAAAUAAAAUAUCAGCUAGUGCUCUAAAGGAGGUAUUACACUUUAUUCCCGAAACUAAUUUCUGGAGCAGUAUAAUAAUCCUGACAUCAGAUGGUUCAACGUCGAAUAAACAAAUUAGUUGUAAGAAAUACCUUGACAAAAAUGUAAAUUCACAUGUUGAUGUUUAUACUAGGUACCCUUUUACCCUCUCCCCCCCCCCUCUCUCUCUCUCUCUCUCUCUCUCUCUCUUUAUCUUAUCUCAUAUCUUUUCUUCUUUCUUCUAUACUAUCUCUCCUUUCUAUGGUGCCAUCAAUGUGAAUAUGUCUUGUAGCACUUUCUCUCAUUUGUCUUUCAUAUAUUUAAAUAUACAUUUAAAUAUACAUUUAAAUAUACAUUUUAUGUAAAUAAUUGUUAAGGUAUUAAAUAUUUUGUAAUUGUAAUGUUAUUGCAUUUUUAAAAAAAUAUUUCUUUUUGAAAUACUGUUUGUAUAUACAACCUUGUGUUAUCUUUUUGUAUGUCUAUGUCUAUGUCUUUAUUGAAUUUGAUUUUUGUACCUUGCAAGAGUUUUCAACUCCAGCUGAUUGUGACAGUGAUCAUGGUCCUAUAGAAGCAUACUAAUCACCAGAUGAAUAUAAACAAUAUGUGUCACUUACAUACUCACCAAAUAGCAUUGCUAAAAGGUGUUCAUGUUUUCAUGUUAACUGUAGCAGCCUAUGUCGUAACUUUGAUAACUUUUUGUUUUGUUAGUUCUUUGUCAAUGCAACCUUCUGUUAUUGGUAUAUCUGAAACAUGAAAUAACGAUCAAUCUCCGUUAUCUCUGUAUAAUCUUGAAAAUUAUGACUAUGUAAAUAAUAAUAUUAUAUAUAGAAAGAACA